UUUCUUUCCUUUUCCUUUCUUUUUUUAUUGGAUAGUGGAUUAUAGUUCUCUUGUUUGUGUUUGUUUUAGCUGGGACAGAUCAUGGAGCCCUGGCUAUCAGUUCGUCUCAAAGUGUUCUCCUAUGAGUUGAUGUCUAUCGGCAGGUUACAGGGAUUUGUGACAGCUAACCAGGAGAUGGGCAGUCUUUGUAUAGGGCCAGUGUGGCACACAACCCACCCCGGGAACUUAUCGAGAUGGAUGGUUGCUGUUGGGGCUAGCCAUGGAGACGGUGAGGCCACUGCUGGGGCCAGAGAAGGCUGUGCUAACGUGGAUGAGAGCAGUAAAACCAGAAGCUCCUAUUGGUCAGGACAGUUCUCAUGAAUCCUUCACUGAUAUGGAUAAACCAUGGAGAGAAUCUGCCUUCUACUGGAUAUCUACCACUGGUCAAUGCAGACCAUCAGACUAGCAGUUGGGAACCCCAUCUAAAACAAUAACAAAUGGUGGGGGGUGGUGUUGUACGUUCAAUCCCUGCACUUGGGAGGCAGAGGUAGGGAGAUCUAUAUGAGUUUCAGGCCAGCCUGGUCUACACAAUGAUUCUAGGUCAACCAGAAGAAUGAUGUGAAACCCUGUGUCUAAGGCAAUAAUUUAACAAAUAAAUAAGUGAAUAAAAAAGUAGAAAUGUG
Molecule: long non-coding RNA, 662 nt
Filed under: Rattus norvegicus (Norway rat)
Lineage: Eukaryota; Metazoa; Chordata; Mammalia; Rodentia; Muridae
Description: long non-coding RNA NONRATT025821
Source: RNAcentral